AGAAUCAACGCUGGCGGCGUGCCUAACACAUGCAAGUCGAACGAGAAAGUGGAGCAAUCCAUUAGUAAAGUGGCGCACGGGUGAGUAACACGUGACUAACCUACCUUUUAGUGGGGGAUAACCUAGGGAAACCUGGGCUAAUACCGCAUAAUACCCACGGGUCAAAGCAGCAAUGCGCUGAAAGAGGGGGUCGCGGUCGAUUAGUUAGUUGGCAGGGUAAUGGCCUACCAAGACUGUGAUCGAUAUCCGGCCUGAGAGGGCGCACGGACACACUGGAACUGAAACACGGUCCAGACUCCUACGGGAGGCAGCAGUGGGGAAUUUUGCGCAAUGGGGGAAACCCUGACGCAGCAACGCCGCGUGGAGGAUGAAGUCCCUUGGGACGUAAACUCCUUUCGAUCGGGACGAUAAUGACGGUACCGGAAGAAGAAGCCCCGGCUAACUUCGCGCCAGCAGCCGC
This 460-nucleotide ribosomal RNA is filed under the name uncultured bacterium. RNAcentral describes it as "SSU rRNA". It matches the Rfam family "Bacterial small subunit ribosomal RNA", at positions 26 to 518 of the family's 1533-position model. The record is from RNAcentral.